Molecule: ribosomal RNA, 586 nt
Filed under: uncultured bacterium
Lineage: Bacteria
Description: bacterial SSU rRNA
Rfam family: Bacterial small subunit ribosomal RNA
Source: RNAcentral
CCUACGGGAGGCAGCAGUAGGGAAUCUUCGGCAAUGGGCGAAGCCUGACCGAGCAACGCCGCGUGAGCGAUGAAGGCCUUCGGGUCGUAAAGCUCUGUUGUUAGAGAAGAACAAGUACGAGAGUAACUGCUCGUACCUUGACGGUACCUAACCAGAAAGCCACGGCUAACUACGUGCCAGCAGCCGCGGUAAUACGUAGGGUGCGAGCGUUAAUCGGAAUUACUGGGCGUAAAGGGUGCGCAGGCGGCCCCGCAAGUCAGGCGUGAAAUCCCCGGGCUUAACCUGGGAAUGGCGCUUGAAACUACGGGGCUGGAGUAUGGCAGAGGGAGGUGGAAUUCCACGUGUAGCGGUGAAAUGCGUAGAGAUGUGGAGGAACACCAGUGGCGAAGGCGGCUCUCUGGUCUGUAACUGACGCUGAGGCGCGAAAGCGUGGGGAGCGAACAGGAUUAGAUACCCUGGUAGUCCACGCCGUAAACGAUGAGUGCUAAGUGUUAGAGGGUUUCCGCCCUUUAGUGCUGCAGCAAACGCAUUACGCACUCCGCCUGGGGAGUACGGCCGCAAGGCUGAAACUUAAAGGAAUUGACGG